RNAcentral lists this ribosomal RNA (253 nucleotides) under uncultured bacterium. RNAcentral's name for it is "partial 16S ribosomal RNA". It matches the Rfam family "Bacterial small subunit ribosomal RNA", at positions 524 to 776 of the family's 1533-position model. The record is from RNAcentral.
UACGGAGGGGGCUAGCGUUAUUCGGAAUCACUGGGCGUAAAGGGUGCGUAGGCGGGUCUUUAAGUCCGAGGUGAAAUCCUGGAGCUCAAAUCCAGAACUGCCUUUGAUACUGAGGAUCUUGAGUACGGGAGAGGUGUGUGGAACUCCGAGUGUAGAGGUGAAAUUCGUAGAUAUUCGGAAGAACACCAGUGGCGAAGGCGACACACUGGCCCGUUACUGACGCUGAGGCGCGAAAGCGUGUGGAGCAAACAGG